UACAGAGGGCUCAAGCGUUGUUCGGAUUCAUUGGGCGUAAAGGGCGCGUAGGCGGCGCGUUAAGUCGGGUGUGAAAUCUUGGAGCUUAACUCCGAAACUGCAUUCGAUACUGCCGUGCUUGAGGACUGGAGAGGAGACUGGAAUUUACGGUGUAGCGGUGAAAUGCGUAGAUAUCGUAAGGAAGACCAGUGGCGAAGGCGGGUCUCUGGACAGUUCCUGACGCUGAGGCACGAAGGCCAGGGGAGCAAACGGG
This 253-nucleotide ribosomal RNA is filed under the name uncultured bacterium. Its description in RNAcentral is "partial 16S ribosomal RNA". It matches the Rfam family "Bacterial small subunit ribosomal RNA", at positions 524 to 776 of the family's 1533-position model. The record is from RNAcentral.